CAGCCGCCACGGGAAAACAGAGGGUGCGAGCGUUAAUCGGAUUUACUGGGCGUAAAGCGUGCGCAGGCGGUUAUAUAAGACAGAUGUGAAAUCCCCGGGCUCAACCUGGGAACUGCAUUUGUGACUGUAUAGCUAGAGUACGGCAGAGGGGGAUGGAAUUCCGCGUGUAGCAGUGAAAUGCGUAGAUAUGCGGAGGAACACCGAUGGCGAAGGCAAUCCCCUGGGCCUGUACUGACGCUCAUGCACGAAAGCGUGGGGAGCAAACAGGAUUAGAUACCCGUGUAGUCCCUGUCUCUUAUAC
This 301-nucleotide ribosomal RNA is filed under the name uncultured bacterium. RNAcentral describes it as "partial 16S ribosomal RNA". It matches the Rfam family "Bacterial small subunit ribosomal RNA", at positions 509 to 807 of the family's 1533-position model. The record is from RNAcentral.